GACGAACGCUGGCGGCGUGCUUAACACAUGCAAGUCGAACGAAGAGCGGUGGAAGCUUGCUUCUAUCAAUCUUAGUGGCGCACGGGUGUGUAACGCGUAAUCAACCUGCCCUUCAGAGGGGGACAACAGUUGGAAACGACUGCUAAUACCGCAUACGAGCUAAUCACGGCAUAGAGGAUAGAUGAAAGGUGGCCUCUACAUGUAAGCUAUCACUGAAGGAGGGGAUUGCGUCUGAUUAGCUAGUGGGAGGGGUAACGGCCCACCAAGGCGAUGAUCAGUAGCCGGUCUGAGAGGAUGAACGGCCACAUUGGGACUGAGACACGGCCCAGACUCCUACGGGAGGCAGCAGUGGGGAAUCUUCCGCAAUGGACGAAAGUCUGACGGAGCAACGCCGCGUGAGUGAUGACGGCCUUCGGGUUGUAAAGCUCUGUUAAUCGGGACGAAAGGCCUUCUUGCGAAUAGGGAGAAGGAUUGACGGUACCGGAAUAGAAAGCCACGGCUAACUACGUG
RNAcentral lists this ribosomal RNA (510 nucleotides) under uncultured bacterium. Its description in RNAcentral is "partial 16S ribosomal RNA". It matches the Rfam family "Bacterial small subunit ribosomal RNA", at positions 28 to 507 of the family's 1533-position model. The record is from RNAcentral.